RNAcentral lists this ribosomal RNA (414 nucleotides) under uncultured Rhodopseudomonas sp. RNAcentral's name for it is "bacterial SSU rRNA". It matches the Rfam family "Bacterial small subunit ribosomal RNA", at positions 359 to 790 of the family's 1533-position model. Lineage: Bacteria; Pseudomonadati; Pseudomonadota; Alphaproteobacteria; Hyphomicrobiales; Nitrobacteraceae. The record is from RNAcentral.
GAAUAUUGGACAAUGGGCGAAAGCCUGAUCCAGCCAUGCCGCGUGAGUGAUGAAGGCCCUAGGGUUGUAAAGCUCUUUUGUGCGGGAAGAUAAUGACGGUACCGCAAGAAUAAGCCCCGGCUAACUUCGUGCCAGCAGCCGCGGUAAUACGAAGGGGGCUAGCGUUGCUCGGAAUCACUGGGCGUAAAGGGUGCGUAGGCGGGUUCUUAAGUCAGAGGUGAAAUCCUGGAGCUCAACUCCAGAACUGCCUUUGAUACUGAGAGUCUUGAGUAUGACAGAGGUGAGUGGAACUGCGAGUGUAGAGGUGAAAUUCGUAGAUAUUCGCAAGAACACCAGUGGCGAAGGCGGCUCACUGGGUCAUUACUGACGCUGAGGCACGAAAGCGUGGGGAGCAAACAGGAUUAGAUACCCGAG